GUUCCGUCGACUCGCCAGAUGGUGGUGGUGGAGCUGAUGGUGUGUGCUUGGGGAAGGGAUCGAAGAGAGAGAGAAGAGAAGAGAGAGAGAAAGAGCCGUUCUUGUUGUUGUCUGCACAUAGUUAUGUUAUAUUAUCUGUCCCGCUUCAUGGUUAGAGAUUAGUCUCGAGUCGUUUAAAAUGUGUGAAUAGGUUCCUGCCUUAUGCGUACAUAAAAGUUGUUUUAAUAAACAGGCAGGGUAUGUUGAUCUACAUGCUCCAUCCUCUUUAGGGACAUCCACCUUUAACCAGCAUUAGUCUUAUCCUGCAUACCAUCUAUUUUUGACAUCUUAUGCUGUUUCCUUUUCUUCCUACCUCGAUCUUAUGCUCUUUCAAUGAUAGUGACAAUAUUACAUGCGUGCUAUACACACAAGCUGGAGCUUUUAUCUCUUCCUUGGAUCCCGUGGGGCUCUGUUGAAGUGCAGGGGUUUCUUGUAAAAUAAUUAUUUAAACGACCUCAUUUCUUUGUAAAAUUAUGGGGAAAUUCAACAUACCAAUAAUGCUAAUGUGAGGAAGUUCUCUCCUAAUUCAUCUUGUCCUUAAUUGAUUUUAGAAUAGAUUCUACAAGAAGAAGAAGAACAACAACAACAACUACCCAGUAUAGUCCCACAAAGUGGGGUCUGGGGAGGGUNNN
Molecule: long non-coding RNA, 671 nt
Filed under: Nicotiana benthamiana
Lineage: Eukaryota; Viridiplantae; Streptophyta; Magnoliopsida; Solanales; Solanaceae
Description: long non-coding RNA (NBEN_LNC013877)
Source: RNAcentral